ACAAAACCCUUCAACAACAUCUCCAAACCUUUUCUCAUGGAGGAUUUAAUGCCACGAGCUAUCAAGUCGCCGGGUUUAUUCCCGUUGCAAUCUGUUAAACUAACAUCCGCCCCUGCAUCAAGUAACAACUUCACGAUUUCAAUGGAGGUCAAAGCCCCGCCGGCGGCUGCGCAGUGGAGGGCGGUGAGACCGUCGGAACCGGAGGUUUUGUUGACGUCGAUUUUUUUAGUAGCGAUUAAGUAUUUCAAAACACGAAUGCUUCCAUAAACCGAAGCAAUCAUGAGAGAAGUUCGUUCUUCAAAUCCCAUCUUUCCUUUACAUGAAUUAC
Molecule: long non-coding RNA, 328 nt
Filed under: Lactuca sativa (garden lettuce)
Lineage: Eukaryota; Viridiplantae; Streptophyta; Magnoliopsida; Asterales; Asteraceae
Description: long non-coding RNA (LSAT_LNC007849)
Source: RNAcentral